Molecule: unclassified non-coding RNA, 1357 nt
Filed under: uncultured Neocallimastigales
Lineage: Eukaryota; Fungi; Neocallimastigomycota; Neocallimastigomycetes; Neocallimastigales
Description: partial contains small subunit ribosomal RNA, internal transcribed spacer 1, 5.8S ribosomal RNA, internal transcribed spacer 2, and large subunit ribosomal RNA
Rfam family: Eukaryotic large subunit ribosomal RNA (bases 596-1357)
Source: RNAcentral
GAAGUAAAGUCGUACAAGGUUCCGUAGUGAACCUGCGGAAGGAUCAUUAAAAAUGUGGUACCAUUUGGUACUAAUUAAUCAUCCUACCCUUUGUGAAUUUGUUUGUAAUGAAUUUUUUAAAUGGUCUUCCCUAAGUUGGAUUGUAGUAAAAUACAAAAAGACUUAGGGAGGACUUUUUUAAAGACUUUUUUUAAUUAAAACUUUUUGUAUUCAUUUGUCUAAAAUUUAUUUUAUAAUAUAAAAACAACUUUUGACAAUGGAUCUCUGGUUCUCGCAACGAUGAAGAACGCAGCAAAAUGCGAUAAGUAGUGUGAAUGCAGAAUACGUGAAUCAUCGAUCUUCGAACGCAUAUUGCACUUUUUAGUUUACUAAAAAGUAUGUCUGUUUGAGUAUCAGUAAAUAUUCUCACAAACAUAUAUUGUUUGUGGUAUGAGUGUUUUACAACGAUAACAAGUGUUUCACUUUAAAUUCUUUUAUUGAAUUUUAUACCAAUUACAAAUUAAAAUUGGAUAAAUUUUCCUUUAACGAGGAAUAACCUAACAAUUUUAAUUUUAUGGUUUGUAAAAUCCAUAAAGAAUCUUAUACAUAAAUAACUUGAUCUCAAUCAGAUAAGAGUACCCGCUGAACUUAAGCAUAUCAAUAAGCGGAGGAAAAGAAACUAACAAGGAUUCCCUUAGUAACGGCGAGUGAAGCGGGAAGAGCUCAAAUUUGAAAUCUUCAAGGUUUGACCUUGACGAAUUGUAGUUUAUAGAAGUGUUUCUGUUGGAGUUUUGGUAAAAGUUCUUUGAAUAGGACAUCAUAGAGGGUGAGAAUCCGUAUUUGACCAUGACUUUCCAGCUGUGUGAUACACUUUCAAGAGUCGAUUGUUUGGAAUGCAGUCAAAAUGGGUGUAAAUUUCAUCUAAAGCUAAAUAUUGGCGAGAGACCGAUAGCGAACAAGUACCGUGAGGGAAAGAUGAAAAGAACUUUGAAAGAGAGUUAAACAGUACGUGAAAUUGUCAAAAGGGAAGCGUUGACACCAAUGUUGUUUUCUCGAAAAUCAAUUUAAUGAGUUCUUGUUUUAAGUUAUUGUGACUUUAUCAGCGCAUUUCUUAUUUUACUUGACUCAUUGAAUGCACUUUCGUUUAACAAGUCAACAUCAAUUUCUUGGUGGUAAAAAGUUUAAAGGAAGGUGGCUUGGACUUCGGUUCAAGUGUUUAUAGCCUUUUUCUAUGCCAUCGGAGAGAUUGAGGUCUGCAGCGUAGAUCCUUCGGGUUAGAUACCUUUGUGCUAAGUUAUAGUUUUUAUAGACAACUUGUGACUAUAAUUAACCUGUAAUUUACUCGCUUAGCUAUUUUACCUACGCUUAGGAUGUUGAG